CCGGGUUCUCAGCUGAGAGAGUAGGGGGAAAGGGAAUCAUGAGAGGUUUGAGGAGGCUUGAGAAGGUUUGCAGAGUGGGAUAGUUAGUUGCCUAGCAACGAUGAGAGCCCAGUUGAAAUUGUAUAGCACCAAUUUAUAAUGGACCAGUCAGAAGGAUUGAGUGAUUUUCUCCACUUUUAUUCAGAAACAGGUAUGUAGGAGCAAAGGGAGCUCAUGUUGGGAGGGAUCCAAAGCUGAGUGUUUAAUUCACAGGACAGAGGUAAGACUCAGACAAGAUAAUAUAUGUAAAUACUUUGCAAACCUUAAAGCUAUACACAGUGGUGGUGAUGGUGAUGGUGGUGAUGCUGGUAAUGGUGAUGCUGGUGGUGGUGCUGCUGGUGGUGGUGGUGCUGGUGGUGGUGGUGCUGGUGGUGGUGGUGGUGGUGCUGGUGAUGGUGUUGGUGGUGAUGCUGGUGAUGGCGCUGGUGCUGGUGCUGGUGAUGGUGCUGGUGAUGGUGGUGCUAGUGCUAGUGGUGAUUGUGAUAGUGGUGCUGGUGCUGGUGGUGGUGCUGGGGGUGCUAGGGCUGGUGGUGGUGCUGGUGGUGGUGGUGGCAGUAGUGUUUUUGAUGUUUUUCAGCCCGUGUCCUUCCCUUCCUAGCCCUUCCCCAAUCAUCAGAUUUGGAGGCAGGAGGACUCCAGAAAUCUCUCUGGAAGUCUCUGCAGGGGUCUCCCGGGGGGCGGGAUCCCCCCUAACAUUCAGAGAGCGUUCGGAGGGUUUCCAGUUCACCCUACGCCAUGCAGCGUUCCUAGGAGGUAAAUACCAGGGGUCCUCUUAUGCCCAAUUUACAGACACGGAAACUGAGAGGCAGGGCGGAGCUGACUGCACAGGGUCCGGCUUCAUCUUGGGGCUUGGCCGCAGACCCCCUGGGUCACCUCGGACAAGUGACUUUCUUCUCUGGGCCUCAGUUUCCUCAUCUGGACCUGAUGGCUCCAAGGUCCCCGCCUGCUCUAAAGUCCACGACGUCGGGAUUCUGAACCAGGGAUGGGGAGCGGGAGAGGGGCUGGCACCAGGAC
This 1053-nucleotide long non-coding RNA is filed under the name Vombatus ursinus (common wombat). RNAcentral's name for it is "lncRNA (ENSVURG00010013235.1)". Lineage: Eukaryota; Metazoa; Chordata; Mammalia; Diprotodontia; Vombatidae. The record is from RNAcentral.